CACGAAGUGAGUGGCGGACGGGUGAGUAACACGUGGGUAACCUGCCCAGAAGCAGGGGAUAACACCUGGAAACAGAUGCUAAUACCGUAUAACAGAGAAAACCGCCUGGUUUUCUUUUAAAAGAUGGCUCUGCUAUCACUUCUGGAUGGACCCGCGGCGCAUUAGCUAGUUGGUGAGGUAACGGCUCACCAAGGCGAUGAUGCGUAGCCGACCUGAGAGGGUAAUCGGCCACAUUGGGACUGAGACACGGCCCAGACUCCUACGGGAGGCAGCAGUAGGGAAUCUUCCACAAUGGACGCAAGUCUGAUGGAGCAACGCCGCGUGAGUGAAGAAGGGUUUCGGCUCGUAAAGCUCUGUUGUUAAAGAAGAACGUGGGUGAGAGUAACUGUUCACCCAGUGACGGUAUUUAACCAGAAAGCCACGGCUAACUACGUGCCAGCAGCCGCGGUAAUACGUAGGUGGCAAGCGUUAUCCGGAUUUAUUGGGCGUAAAGCGAGCG
This 499-nucleotide ribosomal RNA is filed under the name Pediococcus acidilactici. Its description in RNAcentral is "bacterial SSU rRNA". It matches the Rfam family "Bacterial small subunit ribosomal RNA", at positions 85 to 571 of the family's 1533-position model. Lineage: Bacteria; Bacillati; Bacillota; Bacilli; Lactobacillales; Lactobacillaceae. The record is from RNAcentral.